Molecule: long non-coding RNA, 1304 nt
Filed under: Mytilus galloprovincialis (Mediterranean mussel)
Lineage: Eukaryota; Metazoa; Mollusca; Bivalvia; Mytilida; Mytilidae
Source: RNAcentral
AUGAUCUUAAUUCAGUAUAUAAUUUAUCAAGACGAUAGGUUAUUAUAAAUUGUUCACUGGUUAUUUAUUAUAUACAUGCACACUUAAAUUUCAUAUAUGUGCAUGAAAUUCGAAGAUACGUUAAUGAAAAUGUCCUAUGCUAUGUCCUUAGAUAUGGCUUUCACAAAAAAUUAAGUGUAGUAUAACUGCCAAUGAGACAACUCUCCACAAGAGACCAAAUAACACAGAAAUUAGCAACUAUAGGUCACCGCACGGCCUUCAACAAUGAGCAAAGCCCAUACCGCAUGUCAGCAAUAAAAGGACUGAGAACUGUAAAAGAAUUCAAACGAGAAAACGAAAAACUUGAACGAAAAACAAAUAUGUAACACAUCAACAAACGACAACAACUGAAUUACAGGCUCCUGACUUAGGACAGGCACAUACAUACAUAAUGUGGCGGGGUUAAACAUGUUAUCGGGAUCCCAACCCUCCCCUUACAUGGGACAUGGUGUUACAUUAUAACGUAUGAAAAAACUAUAAAAAUCAGUUGAAAAAGGCUUAACGCAUCCAAUAGAUACAAAUGGAAAUAUAAAACAAAGUGGACGGGCCGGGUAAUUGUAUAUCCCAACAACCAAAAGACACUACGUACAGAUCUGAGAGUACUUGCAGUUACUGAAGCUGGUUCAAAGCCUAUAACAACUAAUAAAAAAAUCAUGCAUCUAAGACUAAAUUAUCAAUCAGUAUACUGACAACCAACAUCCAAUGGAUUUAGUGUAAAGAAGUCAUAAACCAUCUGACCUUAUUUAAGAUGGUCUUAGGACGUAUGUUAGACAUGUCUUAUAAGUAAAAAAAUCUAUCUUAUGACAGUCAUAACUACAGCUGUCCAAGGAUCACAUUUAUUCAGUAAAUAUGUACAAAGAAGGAGGUUGCAUCUUUUAUAAAAAAAAACUAUAUCGUACACAUUACACCCCUCAAUUUGAGAAUCGUCUAAGCUCUCCGUCAAUGUAUUUAUAUCUAAUCAUAAAUUCUACCAAAGGGAUGUUUAUUUUAAAGAUAUGCUUUAAAUAAUGAUGGGAAGGUUUUAAAUAUCUGUAGCAAAAGGUUUUCUCUCCAGUUCUGUAAACAUUUUCGAAAUUUUCCUUUGACCGAUGCAGACUCUACGCACACAUUAUAUCCCUCAAUUCGAGAAUCGACUUAGCUCUCCAUCAAGUCGCAAUAGGUUUUCUCUCCAGUUCUGUAAAUAUUUUCGAAUAUUUCCUUUGGCCGAUGCAGACGAUUUGCAAAUAUUGCACCCCUCAAUUCGAUAACCGACUAAGCUCUCCAAC